GCGUGGUUUCCAGCUGGAGGCUGGGAGCGUUCGUGGCUUCCUCUUUUCUUGCUGACCCUUCGGAGCUCUGGGAAGUGGCUGCACCUUGGCGGCUCCCCAGAGCGCGCGGUGCUAAUCGUGGGUCGUCAGCCUGGGUGGCUGGGCCCGGCUUAGGGCAGGGUUUGGCAUUUCCAAUGGUAGGGGGCUCGGACCGUCCCUCCGCGGGACCCUCCCGUUGGGACAAGGCCGAUCGCCUGGGCGGUUGGAGCCGCUAUCCUGGCGCGAGACGGUGGACAAGUCCUAUAUUCAAGAGAAGAUAACUUUGAACAGUUUCGAAGGAUCUAAAACGUAUGUGUCUGCAGACAUCAAUGAGGAUGAAGAAUUAGUAGAAGAGAUUAAUAGAUCAAAAACGUUUGCUGGCUUUGCAGGUGGUGGGCCUGCCUGGGCAUCGGCGCGUUGGAGGAGACGCCCUGGGGGGCCUUAGCUGCCCUGAAGCGGUAGACAGGUGGCAACGUGGGGGCUCAGGAGUUGACAAACACAAGAAAGCAGCGCCGAAUUGCAGGUUUAUCCGCAGCUUUUAUUUUGAAGACAGUGCCACGAAACCUGCAAAUCCUGGUGUCCCAAAUAGUCAAUACCAAGUUGAAAACCAUCUGGGAGAGGAAAAGCGUUGUGCUUUAGACAGGCCGUCUGAGACUCGUGCAGACCGGCUUUUGAGAGCUGGACAGGUGGUGGAUAGAUCAGACUCCAUACACCCGAGGAGCCCCGCCAUGCAUAGUGAAGAAGCUAGAUAACAGUCGUUUCACAACUGGCCAGCCUCUGCCCACUUGACCCCGAGAGAGCUGGCCAGUGCUGGGCUGUACUACACAGGCACUGAUGACCAAGUGCAGUGCUUCUGUUGUGGCGGAAAACUGAAAAACUGGGAACCUGGUGAUCGUGCCUGGUCAGAACACAGGAGACAUUUUCCUAAUUGCUUCUUUAUUUUGGGCCACAACGUUAAUAUUCGAGGUGAAUCUGAUGUUGCGAGUUCUGAUAGGAAUUUCUCAAAUUCAACAAGUUCUCCAAGGAAUCCAUCCAUGACGGGUUAUGAAGCCCGGCUCAUUACUUUUGGGACAUGGAUGUACUCCGUUAACAAAGAGCAGCUUGCAAGAGCUGGAUUUUAUGCUAUAGGUCAAGAGGAUAAAGUACAGUGCUUUCACUGUGGAGGAGGGCUAGCCAACUGGAAGCCCAAGGAAGAUCCUUGGGAACAGCAUGCUAAAUGGUAUCCAGGUUGCAAAUAUCUGCUAGAAGAGAAGGGACAUGAAUAUAUAAACAACAUUCAUUUAACCCGUUCACUUGAGGGAGCUCUGGUACAAACUACCAAGAAAACACCAUCACUAACUAAAAGAAUCAGUGAUACCAUCUUCCCUAAUCCUAUGCUACAAGAAGCUAUACGAAUGGGAUUUGAUUUCAAGGACGUUAAGAAAAUAAUGGAGGAAAGAAUUCAAACAUCUGGGAGCAACUAUAAAACGCUUGAGGUUCUUGUUGCAGAUCUAGUGAGCGCUCAGAAAGACACUACAGAAAAUGAAUUGAAUCAGACUUCAUUGCAGAGAGAAAUCAGCCCUGAAGAGCCGCUAAGGCGUCUGCAAGAGGAGAAGCUUUGUAAAAUCUGCAUGGACAGACAUAUCGCUGUUGUUUUUAUUCCUUGUGGACAUCUGGUCACUUGUAAACAAUGUGCUGAAGCAGUUGACAGAUGUCCCAUGUGCAGCGCGGUUAUUGAUUUCAAGCAAAGAGUUUUUAUGUCUUAAUGUAACUCUACAGUGGGUGUGCUAUGUUCUUAUUACCCUGAUUAAAUGUGUGAUGUGACUCAA
Homo sapiens (human) is the source of this 1826-nucleotide long non-coding RNA. Ensembl annotates it as baculoviral IAP repeat containing 8. Its record names the gene BIRC8. The record is from Ensembl. NCBI's taxonomy places the organism in Eukaryota, Metazoa, Chordata, Mammalia, Primates, Hominidae.